RNAcentral lists this ribosomal RNA (207 nucleotides) under uncultured bacterium. RNAcentral describes it as "partial 16S ribosomal RNA". It matches the Rfam family "Bacterial small subunit ribosomal RNA", at positions 568 to 774 of the family's 1533-position model. The record is from RNAcentral.
CGCGUAGGUGGUUUGGUAAGUCGGAUGUGAAAGCCCCGGGCUUAACCUGGGAAUUGCAUUCGAUACUGCUUGACUAGAGUAUGGUAGAGGGAAGUGGAAUUCCAGGUGUAGCGGUGAAAUGCGUAGAUAUCUGGAGGAACAUCAGUGGCGAAGGCGACUUCCUGGACCAAUACUGACGCUGAGGUGCGAAAGCGUGGGGAGCAAACA